RNAcentral lists this unclassified non-coding RNA (233 nucleotides) under rhizosphere metagenome. Its description in RNAcentral is "partial ribosomal RNA internal transcribed spacer region". The record is from RNAcentral.
GUAGGUGAACCUGCGGAAGGAUCAUUACAGAGAACCAGGCAAGGGCCCCCGGGCCCUCCUGACCUCCCACCCGUGUGAACGUACCAUUGUUGCUUUGACGGGCCCGCGCGGGCUGGCCCUGCCCGCCGGCCCCGGCCGGUGAGCGUCCGUCAGAGGCCCCUUCACCCUGUCCACAGUGAUGUCUGAGUACCAUACAAUAGUUAAAACUUUCAACAACGGAUCUCUUGGUUCCG